Molecule: small RNA, 569 nt
Filed under: Pan troglodytes (chimpanzee)
Lineage: Eukaryota; Metazoa; Chordata; Mammalia; Primates; Hominidae
Description: retained intron
Source: RNAcentral
AUUUUGCAAUUUCUCAUGCCAAUAAAAAAGAAUGCUUCAACUUUACAAGAAGUAUUCAGGUUUUGAUAAUCAUUUUUAAAAAAAAAAACCCAAACUCAGAAUGUCUAAGUGUGUGACAGGAAUAUUUAAUAUUUUAUAUUCUCAAGUCAUCACCCCAAGUAUGCCAUCUAAUCCAUAUCUGUAGGGAAAUCUAUUUUUAAAGUAAGUGAUACCUUGGAGGAAAAAUAGAUACAUCAUGAUUACAGUUUUCAUCACACCAUAAUCUUUUAUUUUAGAAUUAAGGAGAAGUAUCCUCAAACAUUUGAUGACAUAUGCCUUUACUCUGAGGUUUCCCAUUUGCUGUCACACUGCACAUUCAGACUUCCGUGUCGGAGGUUCAUACAAGAAUUAUUUCAAGAUGUACAGUUUCUACAAAUGCAUGAAGAAGCAGAGGCUGUGUUGGCAACACCACCAAAGCAACCUAUAGUUGAUACAUCUGCUGAAUCCUGACCUCAUAUUUAUGAUGGAUAUAGAUACAUACUAUAUAUAUUCAUAUUUGUGGAUUUCCUAAAAGCCUCAGAAAAUACGAC